Molecule: long non-coding RNA, 590 nt
Organism: Chrysemys picta bellii (western painted turtle)
Lineage: Eukaryota; Metazoa; Chordata; Testudines; Emydidae
Source: RefSeq, a predicted model, not a curated record
UCUAUUCGCACUCUGUGCUGGAGACUCAACUAUGCUGUUAUGGAAACAGAGGAGGAAGCUGACAGAAGCUGCUGACUCAGAUAUCACAGCUCAGUUCUCCACACUGCAGCCACCACAAGACAGAAGAAAGCAGCUGGCAUUUUUCAGUGCUGUUUUUGCCAGAAUACAGGGAAGAUUGGAUUUCCAGUGGGAGGAGGAAAUGAAUGAAGGAAUUUAUCCCAACCUCUACUUGAUCCCAAACUUGUCAACAUAACAGACUAUAUCCUUAAAGAAUACCUGCUGCAGGAUCUUAAGUGAAUCUCCUUUUCUACUGGACCAUUUUUAUAAAGCUGAAGUAUUUUUAAAUACAGCCUUAGUCAUGGACAGAAGGACAUGCACCGUUCAUGAAAGACCGUUCAUAUUUUGUGUUACUGUUUAUUUUCAUGGACAUGCCACUCCCUUAAAGAUUUAAAGUAAAUUGACAGACUGAGGGAGUCCAAAACUGCUCUUCAACUAUCUACUUGUAGUAGCUCUGAAAUGCAACUGUGGCUACCUCCUCACUACGGGGGGGGAGGGGUGUCGAUUUAAGAUACGCAAAUUCAGCUACGCGA